RNAcentral lists this ribosomal RNA (253 nucleotides) under uncultured organism. RNAcentral describes it as "partial 16S ribosomal RNA". It matches the Rfam family "Bacterial small subunit ribosomal RNA", at positions 139 to 408 of the family's 1533-position model. The record is from RNAcentral.
GGGAACAACAGCUGGAAACGGCUGCUAAUACCCCAUAGGCUGAGGAGCAAAAGGAGGAAUCCGCCCAAGGAGGGGCUCGCGUCUGAUUAGUUAGUUGGUGAGGCAAUGGCUUACCAAGGCGACAUCAGUAGCUGGUCCGAGAGGAUGAUCAGCCACACUGGGACUGAGACACGGCCCAGACUCCUACGGGAGGCAGCAGUGGGGAAUUUUCCGCAUUGGGCGAAAGCCUGACGGAGCAAUGCCGGGUGAAGGC